ACCUGGGGGCUGCCAAUGAUACUGCCGAUCUUGAGUGUGGAAGAGGUAGAUGGAAUUCCUGGUGUAGCGGUGAAAUGCGUAGAUAUCAGGAAGAACACCGAUGGCGAAGGCAGUCUACUGGUCCAUUACUGACGCUCAUGCUCGAAAGCGUGGGGAUCAAACAGGAUUAGAUACCCUGGUAGUCCACGCCCUAAACGAUGGAUACUCGAUGUCGCGCCGCAAGGCCCGGUGUCUAAGCCAACGCAUUAAGUAUCCCACCUGGGAAGUACGAUCGCAAGGUUGAAACUCAAAGGAAUUGACGGGGGCCCGCACAAGCAGUGGAGCAUGUGGUUUAAUUCGAUGCAACGCGAAGAACCUUACCUGGGUUUGAAAGGCAAGUGACAACCGAUGAAAGUCGGUCUUGUAGCAAUACACACUUGUACAGGUGCUG
RNAcentral lists this ribosomal RNA (430 nucleotides) under uncultured bacterium. RNAcentral's name for it is "bacterial SSU rRNA". It matches the Rfam family "Bacterial small subunit ribosomal RNA", at positions 612 to 1043 of the family's 1533-position model. The record is from RNAcentral.